RNAcentral lists this non-coding RNA (23 nucleotides) under Cricetulus griseus (Chinese hamster). Lineage: Eukaryota; Metazoa; Chordata; Mammalia; Rodentia; Cricetidae. The record is from RNAcentral.
UUAUGCCGGAUAAUUUGUUAUAC